GCGCGCGUAGCUCAGCUGGAUAGAGCGACGGCCUCCGGAGCCGUAGGUCACAGGUUCGAAUCCUGUCGCGCGUACCA
This 77-nucleotide transfer RNA is filed under the name Candidatus Omnitrophota bacterium. Its description in RNAcentral is "tRNA-Arg". It matches the Rfam family "tRNA". Rfam says of the family: Transfer RNA (tRNA) molecules are approximately 80 nucleotides in length. The record is from RNAcentral. Lineage: Bacteria; Pseudomonadati; Candidatus Omnitrophota.